Molecule: non-coding RNA, 2926 nt
Organism: Lolium perenne
Lineage: Eukaryota; Viridiplantae; Streptophyta; Magnoliopsida; Poales; Poaceae
Source: RefSeq, a predicted model, not a curated record
AAUUGUUUGUUCCUUCUUGUGCAUCAUCAUGGCAUCAUGCAUCAUAUCAUCCAUGUUUUACAAAUAAAGUUAUUUUAUAAAACCCAAAUAAUUUUGUUUUCCUCUCCUAUGGUUUAAUAAAACCCUCCCUCGCUCUUUUGUUCUUUAACAAACCGAAACAAUAAUAUUUGUAAUAAUUUAGACAAACUAGACUUAAAUAAAAUUAAAAUGUGGUUUUGAAACUGCUUUGCAACAUUCCAGUUUUUUUUAUAGCCUCACUUCAUCUAUUCUAUUCUGCUUCUAUCUAUCUCUUGGUACCUUUCUUGUUUGAUAUCCUUGCAAUUACUUCAUUUUAUGGCCAGCUCUGAUAUCCCUUCCUGAAGCAACGUUUUGGUGAUCCAUUCUUCUUUUUUUUUUAUCUCAUCGCUGGCAGCAAUACACUUUCAUCAUUUUUUCGUUUUCUUCCACCUACACCUACACGCAAGGAGCGUGAGCUCCCUGUCAACAUCAGCCUCUCAACCACUCCCCUCUCCCCUCCUGUUUUCCCUACCUCAGCCUCAGAUCAAACCCUAGCCCUCUCCAUCUUUCCCUCCUCCCGCCGCCACUCCUUCUCUGUUUCCAUCCCCGUCUUCCAAGCCAAACCAGAGCAAGAGGAGUACAGAAAAUUCAGUUAAAGAUUCAGUUAACAAGAAGCUCCGGUGAAGAAAAUCGACAAGCACCUCCGUUCCUGCACCGCCUUCGAUUCCGGCCUCCUCGAGCAUGUCCUCGUUAUCCUGGUGGCCGCCGCCAGAGCUGCUCCGGUGGUUCAGGCCCUCGCUCCGCCGCUUCCUGAUUCAGCACCACGAGGCGCGACGCGCAAGCCCUUUGUCCCGUCCUGGUUCGUCCUCCUUCGACAAGGCCAUCCUCGACCUGGGCGUCUCCGCACGUUCUCUUCUUCCUCCCGACGCCGUCGACUUCUCCGAGCUCGUCUCCGACCCAUGGUACGAGAUGAUGACGUUAGCAAGGUUACCCUUCCGGCUUGGCCUGGGCAGGGUUAUGGACGCCACUGGUUAUCUUCAGGACUCUUACUCCAAUUUGUAUCUUGUCCAUACUCGGACGUAUUCGAUCUUCUGUAUGAUUUGGAUCUUUGUAUUGUAUAUUUGUAUCUUGACUCGUUGGAGUCGUUGUUGUAAUAUAUGUAUCUUGUGGGGUCUAUUGUAAUCCUGUUGUAAUGUUACCGCUCGUGUCAAUUCCUCUGGCAUCACGUGUGUGAUUCGUCGCGCACGUCGUGUCGGAGGGCGUCUCUGAAUCGAUAUCAUGCGGAUUUCGGCGGCUUCGCUGGGAUCCUCAUGGUACCGGUUUCGGGGCGUCACAAGUUGGUAUCAGAGCCCAGGUUGACGGUACCCCACUAGUCCUGCCUGUAGGAUAACCUUGCCAACGGUCGUUAAGUUUAGCGUGUCAAAACUAUUUUCUGAAAAUUCGUUGGAUUGAUCUGAUUAGCUCUGAUUUUUCUUCUUAUCCCUAUUCUUUCUCUUCUUACCUAUGCGAGUUUUGAAUCCUCUCUCUUAUCUGGGUUUUCUGAGUCAUAGGUUUCUACGCGGGUUGGACGAUCUUUGCCCCUCACCUAUUAGGUCCGAUCUUCGGAGGAUCCCGACAGAAGUGCAUCAUCAACAGCGGAACAACGACUUCUUGUUAGUGGUGACGCUGAUCUACGUGGAGCAAGAAUUCUUGUUAGUGGUGUCGAGAAGAUCAACACUUCGCCAGAAGAAGGUUCCACCUCGAGGUCGGGUGAUUGUCAACAUGGUACAAGAAGACUCGAUAGUUUAACCAACUCCCCCUUGGCUUGACGUGGAACCUCGGGGCGAGGUUCCUUGUUAGUGGUGUCGAUUGUAACGGCCCCGGGUAGUACCCCUAAUAGAAUUGUUUGUUCCUUCUUGUGCAUCAUCAUGGCAUCAUGCAUCAUAUCAUCCAUGUUUUACAAAUAAAGUUAUUUUAUAAAACCCAAAUAAUUUUGUUUUCCUCUCCUAUGGUUUAAUAAAACCCUCCCUCGCUCUUUUGUUCUUUAACAAACCGAAACAAUAAUAUUUGUAAUAAUUUAGACAAACUAGACUUAAAUAAAAUUAAAAUGUGGUUUUGAAACUGCUUUGCAACAUUCCAGUUUUUUUUAUAGCCUCACUUCAUCUAUUCUAUUCUGCUUCUAUCUAUCUCUUGGUACCUUUCUUGUUUGAUAUCCUUGCAAUUACUUCAUUUUAUGGCCAGCUCUGAUAUCCCUUCCUGAAGCAACGUUUUGGUGAUCCAUUCUUCUUUUUUUUUUAUCUCAUCGCUGGCAGCAAUACACUUUCAUCAUUUUUUCGUUUUCUUCCACCUACACCUACACGCAAGGAGCGUGAGCUCCCUGUCAACAUCAGCCUCUCAACCACUCCCCUCUCCCCUCCUGUUUUCCCUACCUCAGCCUCAGAUCAAACCCUAGCCCUCUCCAUCUUUCCCUCCUCCCGCCGCCACUCCUUCUCUGUUUCCAUCCCCGUCUUCCAAGCCAAACCAGAGCAAGAGGAGUACAGAAAAUUCAGUUAAAGAUUCAGUUAACAAGAAGCUCCGGUGAAGAAAAUCGACAAGCACCUCCGUUCCUGCACCGCCUUCGAUUCCGGCCUCCUCGAGCAUGUCCUCGUUAUCCUGGUGGCCGCCGCCAGAGCUGCUCCGGUGGUUCAGGCCCUCGCUCCGCCGCUUCCUGAUUCAGCACCACGAGGCGCGACGCGCAAGCCCUUUGUCCCGUCCUGGUUCGUCCUCCUUCGACAAGGCCAUCCUCGACCUGGGCGUCUCCGCACGUUCUCUUCUUCCUCCCGACGCCGUCGACUUCUCCGAGCUCGUCUCCGACCCAUGCAUUCGCUUCUUCCCGGAUAGGAUCACGGAGUGGUGAUGUGAGAUACGAUGAGUUCUCCGACAAGUUCUCCUGCAGCUUUUCACAGGCGAG